GGGGAUGUAGCUCAGUGGUAGAGUGCCUGCUUUGCAUGGAGGAGGUCCUGGGUUGAAUCCCCAGCAUCUCCA
This is a non-coding RNA of Salarias fasciatus (jewelled blenny), 72 nucleotides long. Lineage: Eukaryota; Metazoa; Chordata; Actinopteri; Blenniiformes; Blenniidae. The record is from the annotation of a RefSeq genome assembly.